UUUUCUACAACUGUGACACUUUACUGUCACUUAAAUAUGCCUUCCUCAAACUACAUCUUGAAUAUUAAUGUAUUGUUUGUAUCCCUGCUAUCAGGACUGUCAAAGAAAUUGGACAAACAAAACAAAGACUGUCAGGUGCUGAAGAAGUGGCUCCAUCCCAUCAAGAACCACAUUUACUGGAGUGCAACUUCUACACCAGGACCAGAGAAGGUGGUCGAGUUCACAUCCAUGUUCAACCACAUUCAGGAUGUGCGUGAGCAUGACAACUCAUCCCAAGAAAGUGACAAGUGAUCCAAAGAAGUGGUUCUAACCAGGGUCAGUGACUCUACAUCAAGUGGGGAAACUGAUGAACAACAACAGGGUCUUGAAGGUGAUGGAGAAGCUGAGCCAACACUAUCAAACCUUCGCUCUAGAGUCCUACCACAUCCUGCUGCUUAGUCUCACACCAAACAAAGUGGUCUUUCCGUUCAUGGGAAUGUUCUACAGCGAAAAUGCUGAACGUGAUCAAACAACAGGACAACUGAUGUAUAAGGUG
This is a long non-coding RNA of Labrus mixtus (cuckoo wrasse), 535 nucleotides long. RefSeq lists it as uncharacterized. The record is from RefSeq and is a predicted model, not a curated record. Lineage: Eukaryota; Metazoa; Chordata; Actinopteri; Labriformes; Labridae. The transcript is spliced from 3 exons.